AAUGAAGGGGUAUGGGUCAGUUAUAAUUUUCGCGAGUCAGACCUUUUUCCGGGCUAUAGCGCCCCUGUAACGGGGUUCAUCGGCGCCAUAAAGCGUUAUGGGGGUGGUGGCGCGACAUCAGCUGCAAUUAGGGAGGGACUAAAAAUGUAAAUUAUGCCAUCAAAAGCAAGACAAAUACGACGUCGGAAAAGGGAAGAAACUUGUUAUUGCCUAUUGGGCCAUUGGCUCUCAAGGACUGCCUGUCUGGACAUUGUUGAUCGAUUAAUAAGCAAACCCUUCCGGUUGAGAUUCCUGAAACGGAGAAGAAAUCGGAGAGAUUUGAGUCGCCGACUCACCUCAUUUCUCAACCUUCUUCUCCUACCAACUCACUCAUGGCGGUUCCCGACAACUCUCGUCAAUCUCUCAUCCCUAAUUUCCUCUACACUUCUUCCAUUUCUCCCAGCACCCUACUCAUUAGCAACACAUCAAACCCUACACUGUUUUCUUCUUCCUCCUCACCUGCUAAAGUUCACAAUAACUUCGUGAUUCCUGCUCCUAAUGAGCCCCUUGGCAAGAUUGAGAUGUAUUCUCCACGAUUCUAUGCUGCUUGUACUGUUGGAGGUAUUCUCAGUUGUGGUCUUACUCACAUGGCUGUUACUCCUCUUGAUCUUGUUAAGUGUAACAUGCAGAUUGACUCUGUGAAAUAUAAGAGCAUCUCAUCUGGUUUUGGAGUAUUGCUGAAAGAGCAGGGUAUGAGGGGCUUCUUCAGAGGAUGGGUCCCAACACUUCUUGGUUACAGUGCUCAGGGUGCCUGCAAAUUUGGCUUCUACGAAUUCUUUAAGAAAUAUUACUCUAACAUUGCUGGCCCAGAGUAUGCAGCCAAAUACAAGACUUUGAUCUACCUUGCCGGGUCAGCUUCGGCAAAGGUAAUUGCUGAAAGAGCAGGGUAUGAGGGGCUUCUUCAGAGGAUGGGUCCCAACCCUUCUUGGUUACAGUGCUCAGGGUGCCUGCAAAUUUGGCUUCUACGAAUUCUUUAAGAAAUAUUACUCUGACAUUGCUGGCCCGUAGUAUGCAGCCAAAUACAAGACUUUGAUCUACCUUGCUGGGUAAGAUCGGCAGAGGUAAUUGCUGAUGUAGCUCUUUCUCCUAUGGAGGCAGUGAAGGUACGUGUCCAAACACAACCUGGAUUUGCUAGGGUUUGGGAGAUGGACUUCCAAAGUUUGUCAGAUCGGAAGGUGCACUCGGCUUUUUCUUAUACUACGUAGCUUGUACAAGGGAUUGGUACCGCUUUGGGGACGGCAGAUACCAUGCAGUGAAGAAGCUUGGACUUUGGGGUCUUUUUACUCGUGGGCUUCCACUACGUAUUGUCAUGAUUGGAACCCUCACUGGAGCUCAAUGGGGAAUCUAUGAUGCUUUCAAAGUGUUUGUUGGACUACCAACAACAGGCGGUGCCGCACCUGCUCCAGUUGCCGAGAUUGAGAAGGCUUAGGUGUUUGGAUAUGGAGCCUGAGCUCAAACUGAGUCUAUAAAUAUAGGACUUCUUAGUGGCACAAGAGUAAUUUUGGAGAGUUUUGACUCUUGUGCUUUUAAAAAGGGUGAGGUUUUAACUUGUUUUGUUUAUGAAAUAUUUUUGGUAUCGAAGAGGAUUGUGCUUCAUCGAUCGAGAAGUUUUUGUUAACCAUGAAAGUAAUUUGGGACAAAUGAUAUGGUGAUACCUUUGGCCUUGAGCAAUAAACGCACCCAUUUUUUCGUCUAUUUA
Helianthus annuus (common sunflower) is the source of this 1738-nucleotide RNA transcript. It is a transcript of the gene named mitochondrial phosphate carrier protein 3, mitochondrial, with no coding region annotated. The record is from RefSeq and is a predicted model, not a curated record. Lineage: Eukaryota; Viridiplantae; Streptophyta; Magnoliopsida; Asterales; Asteraceae. The transcript is spliced from 5 exons.